GCUCAGGAUGAACGCUAGCUACAGGCUUAACACAUGCAAGUCGAGGGGCAGCAUGGUCUUAGCUUGCUAAGGCCGAUGGCGACCGGCGCACGGGUGAGUAACACGUAUCCAACCUGCCGUCUACUCUUGGACAGCCUUCUGAAAGGAAGAUUAAUACAAGAUGGCAUCAUGAGUCCACAUGUUCACAUGAUUAAAGGUAUUCCGGUAGACGAUGGGGAUGCGUUCCAUUAGAUAGUAGGCGGGGUAACGGCCCACCUAGUCUUCGAUGGAUAGGGGUUCUGAGAGGAAGGUCCCCCACAUUGGAACUGAGACACGGUCCAAACUCCUACGGGAGGCAGCAGUGAGGAAUAUUGGUCAAUGGGCGAGAGCCUGAACCAGCCAA
Molecule: ribosomal RNA, 382 nt
Filed under: uncultured Bacteroides sp.
Lineage: Bacteria; Pseudomonadati; Bacteroidota; Bacteroidia; Bacteroidales; Bacteroidaceae
Description: bacterial SSU rRNA
Rfam family: Bacterial small subunit ribosomal RNA
Source: RNAcentral